RNAcentral lists this long non-coding RNA (574 nucleotides) under Equus asinus (donkey). RNAcentral describes it as "lncRNA (ENSEASG00005031918.1)". Lineage: Eukaryota; Metazoa; Chordata; Mammalia; Perissodactyla; Equidae. The record is from RNAcentral.
UUUUCUUAGAGGAGGAAGCAAAGUUCCGAAAGAGAAGAGAGAAGAGAGGAGGUGUGAAUGCACUAGGCAAGGACAGUCUGAGUGCCUGACUCACCGGAAGUUUCCUAACAUGCAAUUAAAGUGAAACCAGAGUGCGGAUACUGCAGCGGCAACACUGAAUGGGGGAGUAGGAGAGAUGUGGAUUUCCUUAGGCACGUGGUCUUUCCAAACCAUGGAUUGAGAGAGGCAGAGAAGGCUGUGAGCAAGCCCAGCGCUGGACGACUACUUCCUCUGGAGGUGACCUGUUCUUUCUGCCUGGAACCUGUGAGAUUUUCUCAUCAUCCUUGAGGUUCAGGAAUUUCACCAGGUGAAAGAUUCUAGGUACUGCCCUGUUCCACGUGACCACAGGAGGAACAACUGAAGCUGAUCAUCAAUAUUCCAGGUGGCUGCAGUUUCAUCAUCAACUGUGUUAGAGAAGACAGCUGGAAGGAAGCCUCCCUCCAACAAGUGUGGGACGAUGAUAUAAAAAAAGCGUCUUAAGAAAGAUAUUCUUGGAGUGGCUGCGUCUGGAAAUUAGGGGAGAAUUGCCAUAUUG